GGGCAAGUGGAAAGCUGGUAGAGCUGCUUCUAAAUUAAAAUUGGAAAAUGAAACUGGAAAUCACAAGCUCACACCCGCUCGGAGGGUCUAGAAUAGUACCGGGCGUUCAGCAGGUACACACACCCAAAUAUGUCUCUGGUGAGUGUGCAGGCCUGAAGAGCCCCAGAGAAGGAUGACGCUGCAUCAAGAGGUCUGCCUAGGGAGCUCGGGUGUCCACAUCUCUUCCAGGUCCCCCAGGGUUCUCAGAGGUGAAUGCAGGGUCAGCCCCACAUCGCCAAAUAAGGCUCACAGUGACCCUAGCAACAGGCUCCACUACCCAUUGGCUCCCACUGCCGCUGCCUGCCAGGCACAGAGGCCCAGCGC
Molecule: long non-coding RNA, 363 nt
Organism: Nannospalax galili (Upper Galilee mountains blind mole rat)
Lineage: Eukaryota; Metazoa; Chordata; Mammalia; Rodentia; Spalacidae
Exons: 3
Source: RefSeq, a predicted model, not a curated record